CGCCAGGAGAGCCCUGCACGCUUGCCCUUUCAAGCUGCGAAAUCACUGAGUUGCAGCCGUCCAGUAACAAGCGGCGGGAGGCAGGACCUUCACGCCCACCCUUCCCUCCAAAUAGAAGUUCGGCUGACUUGAAGAAUUUUGUCGAUUUGGCUCCGUGCCACAGGACCGUCUGGAAGAGUGUCGCUUAAGCAGAGUGGGGAGGCUGCUGCACACGAACAACCCCACCCUCGGCCGCAGAAGCUGGAUUCCAGUGGCACGGUUAGACGUAACGGCUGGAAACUCCCUUGGCUGCAUUGGACGGCCAUGUCUUCUUUCAUGCUUUAAAAUGUCCUUUUCACUCCCAGUGGGCUGCUGUGUCGCCUUCCUAACCGUUGAAUCCUCCAGUGGGUUUCCUCCGCCCAAUACUCCAGAACAGACUUUGCAUGUUAGGCUGAGCCAGCCCCGAAACUCACCGAGGGUUUGAGACCUGUCGGCUACCCUCACCUGGUUUAGCACGUCAGCCAAAGCGGUUUUCCAGGGUGUGGCAGCUGCCUCAUGCUAACAGCUUCUUGGAGCUACAGUGAUUUGAAUUGACUGGACUUUGGCAUCUGGUUUGAUGAGAACAUUGGGAAGAGGUUGCGUUGGCAUCUGCCUAUCUUAUUGGAACGCACCAGCAGUUAGGUUAUGAUAAAUCCUGGAGCUGAGUAACCCUGGCAAGACAUCAGAGUAGAUUACAGAUGGCUGUGGGGAAGAAGCUGUUCCUGAACCUGGACGUU
Amblyraja radiata (thorny skate) is the source of this 755-nucleotide long non-coding RNA. RefSeq lists it as uncharacterized. The record is from RefSeq and is a predicted model, not a curated record. NCBI's taxonomy places the organism in Eukaryota, Metazoa, Chordata, Chondrichthyes, Rajiformes, Rajidae. The transcript has 5 exons.